AUUGAACGCUGGCGGCAGGCCUAACACAUGCAAGUCGAGCGGAGCGGCGGAAGGGUGAGUAAUGCCUAGGAAUCUGCCUGGUAGUGGGGGAUAACGUCCGGAAACGGGCGCUAAUACAGCAUACUAUCAGAUGAGCCUAGGGCGGAGUUGCUAGUUGUGGGGGUAAAGGACUACAAGGGGGACGAUCCGUAACUGGUCUGAGAGGAUGAUCAGUCAACCGGGAAAGGAGCCACGGUCCAGAUCCCUACGGAAGGAAGCAGUGGGUAAUAGUGGACAAUGGGUGAAAGCCUGAUCCAGCCAGGCCGCGUGUGUGAAGAAGGUCUUCGGAUUGUAAAGCACUUUAAGUUGGGAGGCGUGACCAACAGAAUAAGCCCCGGCUAACUUCGUGCCAGCAGCCGCGGUAAUUC
This 407-nucleotide ribosomal RNA is filed under the name uncultured bacterium. RNAcentral's name for it is "partial 16S ribosomal RNA". It matches the Rfam family "Bacterial small subunit ribosomal RNA", at positions 30 to 526 of the family's 1533-position model. The record is from RNAcentral.